Molecule: ribosomal RNA, 446 nt
Filed under: uncultured bacterium
Lineage: Bacteria
Description: bacterial SSU rRNA
Rfam family: Bacterial small subunit ribosomal RNA
Source: RNAcentral
UCCCAGACUCCUACGGGAGGCAGCAGUGGGGAAUAUUGCACAAUGGGGGAAACCCUGAUGCAGCGACGCCGCGUGAGUGAAGAAGUAAUUCGUUAUGUAAAGCCCUAUCAGCAGGGAAGAAAGUGACGGUACCUGAGUAAGAAGCCCCGGCUAACUACGUGCCAGCAGCCGCGGUAAUACGUAGGGGGCAAGCGUUAUCCGGAUUCACUGGGUGUAAAGGGAGCGUAGACGGCGACGCAAGUCUGGAGUGAAAGCCCGGGGCCCAACCCCGGGACUGCUCUUGGAACUGCGUGGCUGGAGUGCAGGAGGGGCAGGCGGAAUUCCUGGUGUAGCGGUGAAAUGCGUAGAUAUCAGGAGGAACACCGGUGGCGAAGGCGGCCUGCUGGACUGCAACUGACGUUGAGGCCCGAAAGCGUGGGGAGCAAACAGGAUUAGAUACCCUAGUA